CGCUGCUAUCCAGUACCUCAUCAGCGCUUAUAAUUUAGCCGCUCCAGACUAACUCCAGGGAGGAGGUGCCUGAAUUCAGCUGAUGGGGUUGGACAAGGUUUGCAGUGGAGAAAUGAAGCUAAAGGGAUCUUGUGAGGAGCCCGAUGUCUUUGCUGCUUCUACACCUGAAUACAUCACAGGAACUGAUGGAUUAUACGCUUGCACUUUUCCAGUCCCUUAAGGGUUAGAGGGGGUUUUUCCAUUCAGGGACUGCUGUAUGUAGAGGGUGACAGUGGGACAUGCAGAUCACUCCCCAACCCACCUCUCUUUCCCCUCCCGGAUGAUCCAGCAGAAACAAUAAAGAAUAUAAGGUUAAAUCACAGUUUCACUUAAAAACUUGAUUGCUGCCAGUGUUUGCA
RNAcentral lists this long non-coding RNA (398 nucleotides) under Equus asinus (donkey). Its description in RNAcentral is "lncRNA (ENSEASG00005037482.1)". The record is from RNAcentral. Lineage: Eukaryota; Metazoa; Chordata; Mammalia; Perissodactyla; Equidae.